This 235-nucleotide ribosomal RNA is filed under the name uncultured bacterium. RNAcentral describes it as "partial 16S ribosomal RNA". It matches the Rfam family "Bacterial small subunit ribosomal RNA", at positions 99 to 334 of the family's 1533-position model. The record is from RNAcentral.
CGAACGGGUGAGUAGCACGUGGGCAACCUACCCUUCUGUGGGGGACAACUCCGGGAAACCGGGGCUAAUACCGCAUUCGGUCACCGAUCGCAUGUCUGGUGAAGAAAGCAGCAAUGCGCAGAAGGAUGGGCCCGCGGCCUAUCAGCUAGUUGGUGGGGUAACGGCCUACCAAGGCGAAGACGGGUAGCUGGUCUGAGAGGACGACCAGCCACACGGGGACUGCGACACGGCCCCG